GAUGAACGCUAGCGACAGGCCUAACACAUGCAAGUCGAGGGGCAGCACGGGAGUAGCAAUACAACUGGUGGCGACCGGCGCACGGGUGAGUAACACGUAUGCAACCUACCUGUAAGCGGGGAAUAACCCGGAGAAAUUCGGACUAAUACCGCAUAAAACUGAGUUACUGCAUGGUAAUUCAUUUAAACAUUUAUGGCUUACAGAUGGGCAUGCGUAUGAUUAGCUAGUUGGUGAGGUAACGGCUCACCAAGGCAACGAUCAUUAGGGGUUCUGAGAGGAAGGUCCCCCACACUGGUACUGAGACACGGACCAGACUCCUACGGGAGGCAGCAGUGAGGAAUAUUGGUCAAUGGGCGAGAGCCUGAACCAGCCAAGUCGCGUGAAGGAAGAAGGUUCUAUGGAUUGUAAACUUCUUUUGUAAGGGAUAAAAGGUUACGUGUAACUUAUUGUAUGUACUUUACGAAUAAGGAUCGGCUAACUCCGUGCCAGCAGCCGCGGUAAUCU
RNAcentral lists this ribosomal RNA (504 nucleotides) under uncultured bacterium. RNAcentral describes it as "bacterial SSU rRNA". It matches the Rfam family "Bacterial small subunit ribosomal RNA", at positions 28 to 526 of the family's 1533-position model. The record is from RNAcentral.